GCAUAAUUUAACAAAACUGAAACAAAUUGGCUGCUAAAUAAAGGCAACAGUAGUAUACUGCUGUUUGUAAUUCAUAAAUUGAUAGAGAAAAAACAAAUCUGGGUUACAAUCUAAUACUGAGGGAAACACAUCAAAUAUAAAAGAACUACGACACAACAGAAACACACUAAAAUGUAACAUACACAGAAACGAACUAUAAUGUAACAAUGGGCUUUUUGCUGACUUGGUACAGGGCAUUUUAAUGAAAAAAAUGGUGGGUUGAACCUGGUUUUGUGGCAUGCCAAACCUCCCGCUUUAAUGGCAAUGUUAAUUAUAACAUUAAAAUGACAACAUUACACAACAGGGCUACAAUAAAUAAUUGGAAGAAAUUAU
RNAcentral lists this long non-coding RNA (372 nucleotides) under Mytilus galloprovincialis (Mediterranean mussel). Lineage: Eukaryota; Metazoa; Mollusca; Bivalvia; Mytilida; Mytilidae. The record is from RNAcentral.